This 4471-nucleotide long non-coding RNA is filed under the name Sorghum bicolor (sorghum). Its description in RNAcentral is "long non-coding RNA (SBIC_LNC012228)". The record is from RNAcentral. Lineage: Eukaryota; Viridiplantae; Streptophyta; Magnoliopsida; Poales; Poaceae.
UCUCCCUAUUUUCUAGAUUACAACUAGAACUAACUAGAACUAGAACUAGAGGAACUAGAACAAGAACUAGAUGAACUAGAACUAGAUCUAGAUGAACUAGAGGUAGAACUAGAAGGAUCCUCUCUACUUGGAUGAAGAAUUGAAACCCUAACUUUGAUUCUGUAGAAGAGGUAUGAUCUCCAGGGGCCAGGGGGCCUUGCUUAUAUAGUCUUUUCAGCUGAAUCUGGGCCGUUGGAUCAAACCGACAUUGAUUGAACGGUUAUCCUUGAUCCUUUAGGUCGGUGGAACAAUAUCCCGAAAGAGAGUCCUGAUUGGACUCUGGUUGAGGGCGGGCGCCCAGGAGACGAGGGCGGGCGCCCUGUCCCUGAGUCCUCUCGGCCUCUGCUUCGGUCCCGUGGUUUCUGGAGUCUUCUAGAUGAUAGAAAAUUGCGUGGCACGUUAAUAUCUCUAUGUAAACCCGACGUGUGGGCCUUUCCUCCGUAUUUCCUGAUAACCCCCUGCAGAAAUAGACAAACACCAAAACUCGUGGAAUUCUGUCAGAUAAAACCCUAAGUCUAGGUGUUGGUUGCAUUUGGAUCCUUUUCUAUGAUUAGUUGAUGGUUAAAUGUGAGCAUUAAGGACCGUCAACAAGCUCCCCCAAGCUUAACCUUUGCUCGUCCCUGAGCAAAGAUGAACUCAAGAGUUUCUGCAGUGGUUUCAUGCCUUAAAGGUACACAUGCGUUCAAACAAGAUCUCAUCUCUGGGUUAGGGUAGACUUUUAAGAUUGAAAAUUUAAUCAUUUUACCUUUUACCAUGGGGCUUGCAACCAUCACUUGUGUCUUGAGGAGUUAAAAGAUAGAACGGUCUAGUCAUGUGUCAUGUCUCUUGUUCUUUGAUUAACUAUAGCUCUGGAGUUUUUCCCUUUUUUCAUAUAAAACUCAGAGAUUCCUUGUAUGACUCUCUCUAGUCUCUCUUUUGUGGUAUUUCUGGAUCCUUACCAGGCAGUAAUGGUGUAUGCCUUCUCUCAAAGUAUGUGGUAUUUUUGGUAUGAAGCAUAGUGACAUUGCCUUCUCUCUCACCCUACUCUAAUAAGGUUUUGAUAUCUGGAGCUCAUAGGUGGGAGACAGCUAAUACAUACUUAAAAGACAUUUAUUGCAUAGUCAAACCAUGGAUCCAGAAGAACAAGUCAAUAAGUCAAAUCAAGAUGUGCAUGUGUGGCGAAUGAAUGGUGUAUGGUAAUGAUGGUGAUAACAAUGGUGAAAGUCUAAUUCUACUUGUGCUCUUUUGAGGGGAUACAUACCUUUCUUGCUCUUUUGAAACUUUUUGAGGUGAAUGAGAUGCUCUAUAUUUUCUUUUUCUUUUCUCUCAGGUGGGUAUCUUGUACCCCUAAUUCUACUGUCAGACACUUGUCCAUUUUUACCUCUCGUCUCACUUUUUCCUUUCUUUCGAGGUUCCGGGCACUUGCCCCUUUUUAUUUCCUCGUAUCUUCUCUUUUUUUUUCUCUUUUUUUAGAGCACUCACUUCCUAAAAUAAUAUAACAAGUGGUAGUAACCAAGAUAACUUGAGCAUUUAUUUCAUAGGGAAAAACAGAAAUAGGAGAAUGUUUUUGGCUAUUCUCUCCCGGAUUAGGAGUAGAAUAUUUUUAGGUGGUUCUGGAGAUAGAAAUGGGUGGAUAUAUGUGGAUGCGUACUGUUGGGUAUUCUUAACAUCAUUACUAAAAGUAGACUAAGUUCUAAAUCUAGCAACGGUGCCAAAAAUGCCAAACCUAUCCCUCACACCACUUAAGCCAAGUUGUCAUCCCCAGCAUGAUAUGAGAGACGCGGUAUUGAAAUAUGCAAUUGCUCUUCUAAAUAAAUAAUGAAUGGGAUCUGCAAGCGCACAGAUUAAUACCGAUGUAGCAUUUUAACCGGGAAGUAUUCCAGGUAUCGUUAUUUAUAUUUUUACCACUGGGAAGGGAUUAGAAAUCAUAACUAAUGAUUACAGAAUAGAAUAUGAGAUUGAGCAUCUAUCAUUGCAUGUAUAAUUGAGAACAUUAUAUCUAACUCAUCAUACAGGGAUAAAUGUCACAUAAAAGAUAUAUGAAAUAAUAAUAGUGACAAGGAUAACUAAUCUGAUCUAGCCACAUAAUAAAUAUGAUAAGCACCUCAAUUAGAUACUCUAGAAAGUCAUUAGCAUGGUAUUAGAACGAACUACAAGAAUAUUCCCUAAGUUAUUCUUAACUAUAUAGUCUAGCAUAUCAUAGUUAGUGCAAGCAUACUUAGCAAUCAUUGUGAGACAAGACUACGCCCAUGCAUAGUGAUAAUAGCAAGGAAUAUGAGAAACAUAGCAAUCACUCCCCUGUAAUAAUGUUGCACUGCCAGCCCAAUACACGAGAGGGGGACUAUAUAAGAAUCAAUGAAGCUGUCACUAUCACGAACCACCCCACGAUCUGGCAUAUUGGGUACAAUCGCAGAUAAAUACGGUAUAAGCACCACGCCUACACAAUAUCUAUCAUUUACCCAUGGAUCCGAUGGAUAAACGCUAUACGAUCCUAAGCAUGUAUAUAGAUCGUAUCUAACUAAGCCAAGUACAUAACUAUGAUAAACUAAGAACAAUAUAAUCUUGAAUAUAAGCAAGUAGAGCAAAGUCAUAAGCAAUAUAUUGAAGUAGAACAAAGUCAUAUUUAUAAUAUUGAAGAACAAAGAUAAUUAGAAAGCAAUUAGAAGCACAAUUAGAGAAUUACCAAGAAUCCUCCUGACAGAUCUGGAAACCAAUCGAAGAUUGACUCCUUCUAGUUCUAAUCCUAUGUAGCUAUGCUAAUCUAGAUAUCUAAUUGAUGUGGUGGCUCUAAUCUUGAUCAGAGGCUUCUUCUCCCUUGAUGGAACAAUGAAUUAGGGUUGAGAGGCUCCCUCCUCCAGGGGCCAGGGGGUCUGGUUUUAUAGUCCCUUCAAGUGAAUAUGGGCCCUUGGAUCAAACCGACAUAGAUUGUAUGAUUUAGAUUCAUCCUUUAGGUCGGUGGAGACUUCCCGCAAAGCAGAGUCCUGAUUGGACUUGGACAGGGGGCGGGCGCCCAGUAGGACAGGGCGGGCGCCCUGCCUCUGGCCCCGUUUCGCCUCCGCUUCGGUCUCGUGGCUUCUGGAGUCUUCUAGAUGUAAGAUAAUUGCGCAGCACGUUAAUAUCUUUACGUAAUCCUGACAUGUGGGUCUUUCUUCCAUAUUUCCUGAUAACCCCCUGCAGAAAUAGACAAACACCAAAACUCAUAGAAUUCUGUCAGAUAAAACCAUAAGUCUAGAUCUUGAUUUCAUUUGGAUCCUUUUCUUUAUGUAUUUGAUAAUUAAAUUUGAUACUUAAGGACCGUCAACAAACUCCCCCAAGCUUACCUCUUGCUCGUCUCUGAGCAAGGAUAGACUUAGCUAUGGAUCAUAAGUUGUUGCAAAAAAUUUGACGGUACACAUGCUUUUAAAUAAGAUCUCAUCUCUGAGUUAGAGUAAACUGUCAAGACUUAAAACUUACUUACUUUACCUCCACCAUGGGACUUGUAACUGUCACUUCUGUCUUGAGUGGUUAAAAGAUAGAACGGUCUAGCCAAGUGCCAUGUCUCUUAUUCUUGAUCAGCUAUAGCUUUGGGAUUUUUUUGCAGAUUUUCAAAUAAAACUCAGAGAUUCCUUGUAUGAUUCUCUCAGGUCUCUCUUUUGUGGUAUUUCUGGAUCCUUACCAAGGCAUUUGAUGGUAUAUGCCUUCUCUCAAGAUAAGUGGUAUUUGUGGUAUGAGACAUAGUGAUAUUGCCUUCUCUCUCACCCUACUCUAAUAAGGCUUUAAUAUCUGGAGCUCAUAGGUGGGAGAUAAAGUAUACAUACUUACAAGACAUUUAUUGCAUAGUCAAACCAUGGAUCCAAAGUAACAAGUCAAUAAGUUUAAUCAAGAUGUGCAUGUGUGGCGAAUGAAUGGUAUAUGGUGAUGAUGGAGAUAACAAUGGUGAAAACAAUGGUGGUGGAAGUCUAAUUCUACUUUGCUCUUUUGAGGGGAUACAUACCUUCCUUGCUUUUGAAACUUUAUGAGGAGAAUGAGAUGCUCUUCUUUUUCUUUUCUCUUAGGUGGGUAUCUUGCACCCCUAAUUCUACUGUCGGACACUUGUCCAUUUUUACCUCUCGUCUCACUUUUUCUUUUCUUUCGAGGUUCCGAGCACUUGCUCCUUUUUAUUUCCUCGUAUUAUUCCCUCUUUUUUUUAGAGCACUCAUCUCUUGAGAUAAUAUAGCAAGUGGUAGUAACAAGAUAACUUGAGCAUUUAUUUCACAAGGGAAAAACAGAAAAUAUUUUUGGUUAUUCUCUCCCGGAUUAGGAGUAGAAUAUUUUUAGGUGGUUCUGGAGAUGGAAUGGGUGGAUAUAUGUGGAUGGUACUUCCGGAGUAGAAGUAGCAUAUAUGAGUGAACGUGCAAGUGAAAUCUCGAUUUAACCACAUGACAAGCUCCUAAGGGUCUACACAGCUUGACCACACUCAAUGCUCAUAAGCAGU